GUUUGAUCCUGGCUCAGAUUGAACGCUGGCGGCAGGCCUAACACAUGCAAGUCGAGCGGAAACGAGUUAACUGACCCUUCGGGUGACGUUAACGGCGUCGAGCGGCGGACGGGUGAGUAAUGCCUGGGAAAUUGCCCUGAUGUGGGGGAUAACCAUUGGAAACGAUGGCUAAUACCGCAUAAUGCCUUCGGGCCAAAGAGGGGGACCUUCGGGCCUCUCGCGUCAGGAUAUGCCCAGGUGGGAUUAGCUAGUUGGUGAGGUAAUGGCUCACCAAGGCGACGAUCCCUAGCUGGUCUGAGAGGAUGAUCAGCCACACUGGAACUGAGACACGGUCCAGACUCCUACGGGAGGCAGCAGUGGGGAAUAUUGCACAAUGGGCGCAAGCCUGAUGCAGCCAUGCCGCGUGUGUGAAGAAGGCCUUCGGGUUGUAAAGCACUUUCA
This 441-nucleotide ribosomal RNA is filed under the name Vibrio sp. RKEM 601. Its description in RNAcentral is "bacterial SSU rRNA". It matches the Rfam family "Bacterial small subunit ribosomal RNA", at positions 11 to 438 of the family's 1533-position model. Lineage: Bacteria; Pseudomonadati; Pseudomonadota; Gammaproteobacteria; Vibrionales; Vibrionaceae. The record is from RNAcentral.